This is a long non-coding RNA of Mus musculus (house mouse), 717 nucleotides long. RefSeq annotates it as predicted gene, 41754. NCBI's taxonomy places the organism in Eukaryota, Metazoa, Chordata, Mammalia, Rodentia, Muridae. The record is from RefSeq and is marked validated. The transcript is spliced from 2 exons.
GGUUACUAUGGCGACUGGAGCCCGCUAUAAGGACGCAGUCGCCAUGUUAUCUACUCUUCAGUCUGGUCUAGACUGCGUUCUUGAUUCCAAUUCUUGUGUAGAGUGACGGAAAACAUACAAGGAUGGAACGGAAUCAGGUGUGGCCGCAUGGGCCAAGAUGUUUACUGCCUUACCUGAGCAUGCGCAGUGAUGCUGCAUAAGAGGGCUGCCUGCCAGGCUGGACUGUUCCUCGUGAUCUGGACCUGUCAGCCUAUCUGUGACCGAUCUGAGCUCCUGCUUGAAGCGUGUGUGAAUUCUGAUUGGCUGAGGUGGGGUGGAGCUAGAUGAGGUCAGUCAGCACAAGUAUGGGAGUUUUGUUGUUUAGUCCUUGCCCUAAGUAGAAGCUAGUUGUAGUAAGAGAAGCUGUUGUAAGUGAAGUUGUUGUAAGAAAAGCUGCAAGAAGGACGGAGGAAGAAGCUGCUGCUGGGGAAGAGAGCUGUAGGGGAAAAAGCCCAAAGAAGCUAUUGCGUGAACCGCCUUGGUGUCCAGUGUUGUUCCUGUCGCCACCGGCUUGAAGGACUGUAGCACCCACCACUUCCCACUCUUUUGGACUUCCAGUUUGCUGACCCAUGAGAUGUUUCUGUUGUACAAGCCACUUUUUCCUGUGGCAUUUUUGUUAACACAGCUCUAGCUGACUAACUUACAACUGUUUAUAAAUAGUGUUUGCUUGGUAUUGUA